RNAcentral lists this ribosomal RNA (406 nucleotides) under uncultured bacterium. RNAcentral's name for it is "partial 16S ribosomal RNA". It matches the Rfam family "Bacterial small subunit ribosomal RNA", at positions 30 to 526 of the family's 1533-position model. The record is from RNAcentral.
AUUGAACGCUGGCGGCAGGCCUAACACAUGCAAGUCGAACGAGUGGCGGACGGGUGAGUCAUGUCUGGGAAACUGCCUGAUGGAGGGGGAUAACUACUGGAAACGGUAGCUAAUACAGCAUACCAUCGGAUGUGCGCAGAUGGGAUUAGCUAGUAGGUGGGGUAACGGCUCACGUAGGCGACGAUACCUAGCUGGUCUGCGAGGAUGACCAGCCACACUGGAACGUACACACGGUCCAGACUCCUACGGGAGGCAGCAGUGGGGAGUAUUGCACAAUGGGCGCAUGCCUGAUGCAGCCAUGCCGCGUGUAUGAAGAAAGCCUUGGGGUUGUAAAGUACUUUCGGCGGGGAGGCGUUACCCACAGAAGAACCACCGGCUAACUCCGUGCCAGCAGCCGCGGUAAUUC